AAAAAGGUUGCCUCUUUCAUUUUCUUUGUUUUCUUAUUCGUAUAAAAGUAAAAUAAAGAAAAAUAAAAACAGUAAAUAUCAACCUUCGAAUCGAUUGUAUUGCUUUUGGUGUUUGCUGUUUUCGAUUAUAGAAUAUAGUUGUUUUUAUUGAUUGCCCCUUUCGGAUCCCCAUUACAAUAUUACAAUGGCUAUUUUAUAGCCG
This 202-nucleotide long non-coding RNA is filed under the name Gossypium raimondii (Peruvian cotton). Its description in RNAcentral is "long non-coding RNA (GRAI_LNC010498)". The record is from RNAcentral. Lineage: Eukaryota; Viridiplantae; Streptophyta; Magnoliopsida; Malvales; Malvaceae.